This 233-nucleotide ribosomal RNA is filed under the name uncultured bacterium. RNAcentral describes it as "partial 16S ribosomal RNA". It matches the Rfam family "Bacterial small subunit ribosomal RNA", at positions 28 to 257 of the family's 1533-position model. The record is from RNAcentral.
GUUGAACGCUGGCGGCAUGCCUUACACAUGCAAGUCGAACGGGCACGUCGACGGGGGCAACCCUGGUGGCGAGUGGCGAACGGGUGAGUAAUGCAUCGGAACGUGCCCCGUAGCGGGGGAUAACCAGUCGAAAGACUGGCUAAUACCGCAUACGCUCCACGGAGGAAAGCGAGGGGGAUCGCAAGACCUUGCACUAUGGGAGCGGCCGAUGCCCGAUUAGCUAGUUGGUGAGG